This 60-nucleotide transfer RNA is filed under the name Caudoviricetes sp. Its description in RNAcentral is "tRNA-OTHER". It matches the Rfam family "tRNA", at positions 17 to 71 of the family's 71-position model. From Rfam's summary of the family: Transfer RNA (tRNA) molecules are approximately 80 nucleotides in length. Their secondary structure includes four short double-helical elements and three loops (D, anti-codon, and T loops). Further hydrogen bonds mediate the characteristic L-shaped molecular structure. tRNAs have two regions of fundamental functional importance: the anti-codon, which is responsible for specific mRNA codon recognition, and the 3' end, to which the tRNAs corresponding amino acid is attached (by aminoacyl-tRNA synthetases). tRNAs cope with the degeneracy of the genetic code in two manners: having more than one tRNA (with a specific anti-codon) for a particular amino acid; and 'wobble' base-pairing, i.e. permitting non-standard base-pairing at the 3rd anti-codon position. Lineage: Duplodnaviria; Heunggongvirae; Uroviricota; Caudoviricetes. The record is from RNAcentral.
GGUUAGAACGCCGGCCUGUCACGCCGGAGGUCGAGGGUUCGAGUCCCUUCGUGGUCGCCA